Chrysemys picta bellii (western painted turtle) is the source of this 2983-nucleotide non-coding RNA. NCBI's taxonomy places the organism in Eukaryota, Metazoa, Chordata, Testudines, Emydidae. The record is from RefSeq and is a predicted model, not a curated record.
UGGCCCACGUGUGGAGUGGGGCUUGGAGCCGCAGGGGCCCUGCCCCGACAUGCAGCGCCCUGGGUCUGGCACAGCCUCCCUCCUUGCACCCUGGGCCUGUGUGUGUCUGUCGGGGGGGCUAGUAAAGUGCUUCCCUUGCAGCCACCACCUGACACCAUCUGCCGGGCAAGGAGGGGCCCCGUGGGCCUGUGUUGGAAUUCCGGAGGUGAGCCCCCCACUGGCUUGAGCUGCUUGGGGACGGGGGCAAGGGGCAGAGCCUCCCACGGUGGGUACGAGUCCUGCGGGCUGUGGCAGGCAAAGCUCACGCCCAUGAUCGGCUGCCCCCAGCCGCAGUGACCUUGACUGUAGAGCGCUGAGCUGAGCUGCCCUAGCCGGCCGCUGGUGCUGUGUAGUGAUGAAAUUAAUGGAGUGGUAAAUAGCCUAAAUCCCCUGUAACUCAGACCCAAACUACACAGGCUGCCCCUCCCUGAGCGGAUUGUGGGGAAGUAUUUACAUGUGAUUAGAACAGCUCAUCUCGGAGUCUUAGUUCUGUCCGUUCGCAUUACGCUGAUUAUCCACAGAGGGGACUCGAGUGUGAGCCCUACCCCGGCCUCCAGCCCUGCCCCGGCCUCCAGCCCUGCCUGCUCCUGCAGCUGAACCGCACAAGGCGGCCACCUCCCCGCGUGUGCAAAGAUGAGCUGCUGCCGCAUAAGAGUUGGGGCAAGUGGGGAGCUGUAUCUCCCACCCCAGGAACGGUGCUGGUUCAGUGUGAGCCCAGGUGUUCCAGGGCCAAGGGGCAGAGAGCAGGGCCCCUGCUCUCCUCUGGCUGCCCCUGGGUGACGUAUUCUGGCUGAGCAGGGUGUGGGCUUGCAGCCGUCCCAGUUACUCCUCCCUAGCUUGGCCAAGCCUCGUGUGGCGCUGCGAGGGGGAGCUAAGCCAGGACACGCGUUUGGGUUUGAAGAUGUUUGUGAGGCAGUUGUGCUCCUCAGCCCAACCGGCCUGGAGAUGACAGCAUGGCUGUGCUCUCGCCUCCUCAUCUCACACCAGCUCCAGGCUCUGGACUGGCUAUUUCCUCACUGCCCACCUCAGCUGUGCAGUCUGGACAAUGGCCCUAAGGCCCUGCAGUGAGAGGGGCUGGGCUCGCUCCAGUGCUUUGAAGAGGGACAGGCUGUGAUGUGCUGGGAUACCCGACAGGAGUGCUGCUGGGUCAUAGGAUAGACCCCAUAGGCUCCCAGGCUGCAGGAGGUCUCAGACCCCACCACCCCCUUCCUGCUCCAGCCAGGAGCACCCUCCUCCCUGCCUGUGGAGCUCCGCAGCACCUCUGACCCAUCUGGCUUUAGUCGGCAGAGAAAACCCCACUCUCUGGGCUGGGAUCCUGCUCCUUGCGUCAAGCCAAGGAAGGGGUGCACCCUCCCCAGCAAGGAGCCCACUCAGCUGCCCCCGCCCUUCCCUGGGGCUGGGCAAGAGACUUUGUUCCAGCACAUACCAGGCCAUGAGCUCACCCCACUGUCCUCAUGCCAGCCCGGCAGUGCCUGGCCUACAGCCGGGACCAAAGGCACCAGCAGGGCCCUGGCCUGCCCUUCCAGGAGCGAGCGGCCUGCGGCAGGGACCUCGGCCAGGCUUCCCCUCGCCCUGCCGGCCGGAGGAGUUUUCCCUUGGCCUUGGGGGGGCCGGUGCCUGAGCCCCUGCCCGGCCGGCCCCCGCCCUGGACGGACCAGCCCCGUGCCUGGCUCCUGCCGCCAGAGGCUCCCAGCCCCCCCUCGCAGCCUGCCCUGCAGCCCCCCCACCCGCAGGCCACCCCCUCCCAACCGCCCCUAGGCUGCGCCUGCCCGGUUCUCGCGCUCUGGGCGCAGCCUGUCCCGCGCGUAGCGCUCCGGGAGCGUCCCGGGGCUGCCCCCAGCUCGGCCGGUCGCUGGGGGCUCUGGGAGCCGGGCCGGGACGAACCCGGCGGCUGUACUCGAGCGGAGCUCGGGGCUCGAUACCCGGGACGGGCCGCUCCCCUCCGGGGCGCAGCGUCCUGGGCUGGCCCGUGCGCUCCGGGCCCCGCCCGCCGCAGUGCCCGGCCCAGCGCGGAGCGCAGCUGCUGGAGCAGCGCCGGCCGCCGGCCCCGCUCGGGGACCCCGCUCCCAGCUCAGCCCCACGAGGCCUUCAUGGAGCUUGGGAAGAAGCUAGCCCUGGUCCGGCAGGGGCAGGGCGAGAAGUACGUGGGGCUGAAGCGACGCUCCCAGGGAGCAGCGCCUGGCCCGCCGGCCGGCAUGGCCCUGUGGGAGGCCCCGCAGGCAGGGCCAGAGGAAGAGGCUGCAUUGCCCCACAUCCUGGUCACUGACUUCAGUGCUUCGAGCACUGCAGCCUGGGGCAGCCUCGAGGGGGUCCCUGCUACAGCCCCCGACCCACAGCCAGAGUCCGAGCCCCCAAGAGCGGCAGAGGAGGAUGCAGAGAGCGUCUCCAAGCCCCGUGCACCUCCCUCCCUCCCUCUCCCUCUGCUCUCCCGGCAGCCGGAGUCGGAGCAGGACGCCUCCGAAGAUGGAGGGAGCAGCCUGGGCUCCAGCUCUGUGGCGCUGGACCCUGUGGAGAAGGAAUGGCUGCAGGGGGCGGCCAGCGGGCACCUGCUCACCCUGAGUCACCUGCUCAAACAGGAGCCGUCCCUGGCCACCAGGAAGGACUUCACCUCGUUUACAGCGCUGCACUGGGCGGCCAAGCACGGCAAGGAGGACUUGGUCUCGCUGCUGGUGGCUGCAGGAGCCGAUGUGAACACGCGCUCGCAGGGCGUGAGUAUGCAGGUGCCCAGGGACGGACAGAUGGACGGACCUCGCAGCAGGCUCCUCAGGACAGAUUAGGCAGUGGGCACUGGUGCCCGGGGGCGGGGCUACACCCCACUACACAUUGCUGCUCUGCACGGACACCGCCAGGUCAUGGACCUGCUCGUCCGCAGCUACGGUGCCAAGCAGAACGUGCGGGAUCACAGUGGGCACCUGGCCAGACACUACCUGGGAGCAGAGAAGCC